AUCUUAUCCAGAGUAGCUGAGGGACGGGCCCUAUGACGCUCGACAACCGGCAUUUUCCAUUAGAAUGCAUCGGUGUCAAUUCCUGCAGGAUAAUUAAUUUUAUCCUGGAAGAUAAGAU
This 118-nucleotide non-coding RNA is filed under the name Tepidanaerobacter acetatoxydans. RNAcentral's name for it is "SAM-I sequence". It matches the Rfam family "SAM riboswitch aptamer (S box leader)". From Rfam's summary of the family: The SAM riboswitch is found upstream of a number of genes which code for proteins involved in methionine or cysteine biosynthesis in Gram-positive bacteria. The SAM riboswitch acts at the level of transcription termination control. The predicted structure consists of a complex stem-loop region followed by a single stem loop terminator region. The record is from RNAcentral. RNAcentral also lists the same sequence under 1 other name. Lineage: Bacteria; Bacillati; Bacillota; Clostridia; Thermosediminibacterales; Tepidanaerobacteraceae.